GAUCUUGGAAAUCACUUAUUGGAAGUCACUCAGAAAUUGACACUCAUUUUCUGAAAUGCACCCAGAAAGCUUGGAAUGACUAAUUAAUGUAAGAAAAAUCCUGAAAAAUUAUGCAGUGUUAGCAAUUAAUGUAAAAAGUUCUAAAAUAAUAAAUUGAUUGGUGGGGAUGGAAUCCAUCCACAUAUCAUCUGCAUAUCAUAAAGGUUGUUCUCUUUCUUCCAAUAAUGGCCUGCCACACUUCUGAUAGGACCUUUUUCUUCUUUCCUUAUGCUUUCCUAUAUACAGGAAUUCUCAAACUUUAUAUUGUCUUUUGUUAUAUUGUCCCAUAUGUCAUUUUACCCAAAUGAAUUUAUUAAUCAAAGAACAAAUUCAUCUCUACAUUCUCUCAUAUUAUGUUGUUGUUAUGCUAUUAAUAAAGUAGUACUUAAUUAUCAGGAUGGGAAUGAUAUGCAUUUUGCAUAUGUGUGUGUGUUUGUGUGUGUUUCCUGCCUUUAAGCACAUCUAAUUUAAUACAUUAAUUUAGGAUAUAGAUUCAAUCCUGGAUCUUAUAGAUAGAAAGCUGAACCAUUUCUGCUGAUAUGCACGGUUUUCCUGAAAGAUUAGCCAAAUUUAAAUCACAAAUAAUACUCAUCAAAAUAAAAAAGUCCAUAUAAACAUAUUUCCAAAAAUCUUUCCUUUUUGAGAUAACAUAGAAUAUAAUAAAUAUACCAUAUAUAUGCAUGUAUAAGCAAG
Molecule: long non-coding RNA, 732 nt
Filed under: Androctonus crassicauda
Lineage: Eukaryota; Metazoa; Arthropoda; Arachnida; Scorpiones; Buthidae
Source: RNAcentral